Molecule: transfer RNA, 83 nt
Filed under: Schistocephalus solidus
Lineage: Eukaryota; Metazoa; Platyhelminthes; Cestoda; Diphyllobothriidea; Diphyllobothriidae
Rfam family: tRNA
About the family: Transfer RNA (tRNA) molecules are approximately 80 nucleotides in length. Their secondary structure includes four short double-helical elements and three loops (D, anti-codon, and T loops). Further hydrogen bonds mediate the characteristic L-shaped molecular structure. tRNAs have two regions of fundamental functional importance: the anti-codon, which is responsible for specific mRNA codon recognition, and the 3' end, to which the tRNAs corresponding amino acid is attached (by aminoacyl-tRNA synthetases). tRNAs cope with the degeneracy of the genetic code in two manners: having more than one tRNA (with a specific anti-codon) for a particular amino acid; and 'wobble' base-pairing, i.e. permitting non-standard base-pairing at the 3rd anti-codon position.
Source: Rfam by way of RNAcentral
GGGCUCGUAGCUCAAUUGGCUAGAGGGUUGGCCGUACUAAUGCCUUCCCCUUGCUGGCGUGGGUUCAAAUCCUACCGAGGCUG